This 506-nucleotide ribosomal RNA is filed under the name uncultured bacterium. RNAcentral's name for it is "partial 16S ribosomal RNA". It matches the Rfam family "Bacterial small subunit ribosomal RNA", at positions 28 to 523 of the family's 1533-position model. The record is from RNAcentral.
GAUGAACGCUAGCUACAGGCUUAACACAUGCAAGUCGAGGGGUAACGAGAGGGAAGCUUGCUUUCCUUGUCGACGACCGGCGCGCGGGUGAGUAACGCGUAUCCAACCUGCCCCCAACUAGGGAAUAACCUUGCGAAAGUAAGACUAAUACCCUAUAAUUUCCUCAGAUGUCAUCUGACGAGGAAUAAAGAUUUAUCGGUUGUGGAUGGGGAUGCGUCUGAUUAGCUUGUUGGCGGGGUAACGGCCCACCAAGGCAACGAUCAGUAGGGGUUAUGAGAGGAAGGUCCCCCACAAUGGAACUGAGACACGGUCCAAACUCCUACGGGAGGCAGCAGUGGGGAAUAUUGGUCAAUGGGCGGAAGCCUGAACCAGCCAAGUAGCGUGCAGGAUGACGGCCCUAUGGGUUGUAAACUGCUUUUAUACAGGAAUAAAGUUAGCCACGUGUGGUUAUUUGUAGGUACUGUAUGAAUAAGGACCGGCUAAUUCCGUGCCAGCCGCCGCGGUAA